GAACGAACGUUGGCGGCGCGCCUAAUACAUGCAAGUCGAGCGAGAAGACGUAGCAAGUACGUUUGUAAAGCGGCGAACGGGUGAGGAAUACAUGGGUAACCUACCCUCGAGUGGGGAAUAACUAGCCGAAAGGUUAGCUAAUACCGCGUACGCUUCUUGGACUUCGGUUCAGGGAGGAAAGCGAUGCCGAGGGUAUCGGCGCUACUUGGAUGGGCUCAUGUCCUAUCAGCUUGUUGGUGAGGUAACGGCUUACCAAGGCUUCGACGGGUAGCUGGU
This 276-nucleotide ribosomal RNA is filed under the name uncultured bacterium. RNAcentral describes it as "partial 16S ribosomal RNA". It matches the Rfam family "Bacterial small subunit ribosomal RNA", at positions 27 to 291 of the family's 1533-position model. The record is from RNAcentral.